AGAGUAUGAUCCUGGCUCAGGAUGAACGCUGGCGGCGUGCUUAACACAUGCAAGUCGAACGAACCUUCGGGUUAGUGGCGGACGGGUGAGUAACGCGUGAGAAUCUGCCCUCAGGAGGGGGACAACAGCUGGAAACGGCUGCUAAUACCCCAUAUGCCGCGAGGUGAAAUGAAUUUCGCCUGAGGAUGAGCUCGCGUCUGAUUAGCUAGUUGGUGUAGGUAAUGGCUCACCAAGGCAUCGAUCAGUAGCUGGUCUGAGAGGAUGAUCAGCCACACUGGGACUGAGACACGGCCCAGACUCCUACGGGAGGCAGCAGUGGGGAAUUUUCCGCAAUGGGCGAAAGCCUGACGGAGCAACGCCGCGUGAGGGAUGAAGGCCUCUGGGCUGUAAACCUCUUUUAUCAAGGAAGAAGAUCUGACGGUACUUGAUGAAUAAGCCACGGCUAAUUCCGUGCCAGCAGCCGCGGUAAUACGGGAGUGGCAAGCGUUAUCCGGAAUUAUUGGGCGUAAAGCGUCCGCAGGCGGCCCUUCAAGUCUGCUGUUAAAAAGUGGAGCUUAACUCCAUCAUGGCAGUGGAAACUGUUGGGCUUGAGUGUGGUAG
Molecule: ribosomal RNA, 600 nt
Filed under: uncultured marine bacterium
Lineage: Bacteria
Description: bacterial SSU rRNA
Rfam family: Bacterial small subunit ribosomal RNA
Source: RNAcentral